This 878-nucleotide ribosomal RNA is filed under the name Staphylococcus succinus. Its description in RNAcentral is "bacterial LSU rRNA". It matches the Rfam family "Bacterial large subunit ribosomal RNA", at positions 1224 to 2099 of the family's 2925-position model. The record is from RNAcentral. Lineage: Bacteria; Bacillati; Bacillota; Bacilli; Caryophanales; Staphylococcaceae.
AAUGGUAGGAGAGCGUUCUAAGGGCGUUGAAGCAUGAUCGCAAGGACAUGUGGAGCGCUUAGAAGUGAGAAUGCCGGUGUGAGUAGCGAAAGACGGGUGAGAAUCCCGUCCACCGAUUGACUAAGGUUUCCAGAGGAAGGCUCGUCCGCUCUGGGUUAGUCGGGUCCUAAGCUGAGGCCGAUAGGCGUAGGCGAUGGAUAACAGGUUGAUAUUCCUGUACCACCAAAAUUCGUUUUGAGCGAUGGGGGGACGCAGUAGGAUAGGCGAAGCGUGCUGUUGGAGUGCACGUCCAAGCAAUAAGACUGAGUAUUAGGCAAAUCCGGUACUCUUAAGGUCAAGUUGUGAUGGGGAGAGGAAAUUUUUUCCUCGAGUCGUUGAUUUCACACUGCCAAGAAAAGCCUCUAGCUAGAAUUUUGGUGCCCGUACCGCAAACCGACACAGGUAGUCAAGAUGAGAAUUCUAAGGUGAGCGAGCGAACUCUCGUUAAGGAACUCGGCAAAAUGACCCCGUAACUUCGGGAGAAGGGGUGCUCUUUAGGGUUAACGCCCAGGAGAGCCGCAGUGAAUAGGCCCAAGCGACUGUUUAUCAAAAACACAGGUCUCUGCUAAACCGUAAGGUGAUGUAUAGGGGCUGACGCCUGCCCGGUGCUGGAAGGUUAAGAGGAGUGGUUAGCUUCGGCGAAGCUACGAAUCGAAGCCCCAGUAAACGGCGGCCGUAACUAUAACGGUCCUAAGGUAGCGAAAUUCCUUGUCGGGUAAGUUCCGACCCGCACGAAAGGCGUAACGAUUUGGGCACUGUCUCAACGAGAGACUCGGUGAAAUCAUAGUACCUGUGAAGAUGCAGGUUACCCGCGACAGGACGGAAAGACCCCGUGGAGC